Molecule: long non-coding RNA, 673 nt
Organism: Lolium perenne
Lineage: Eukaryota; Viridiplantae; Streptophyta; Magnoliopsida; Poales; Poaceae
Source: RefSeq, a predicted model, not a curated record
GGCCCCCGCGAGCGAGCGACCAACGGUGCCGGCCCAACCUCCUCACAUCCCCCGUGCUUCCCGGCCCAACCUCCCCACAUCCCCCAUUCCUCCUCACGCUCUCCCCUCCUCUCCCCCUCCCCACCCAGUUGUGCCGCCGCCACCUCACGCAGCGGUGCGUCUCCGGCGCGGCGAUGAGGAUCUUCGACCUGCUCGAGCUCUCCGGCGAGGCCUCGGGCAAGGAGGCCGUCGCCAAGGUCGCCAAGGAGGUCGUCCCGCGGUCCCUCUCCAAGGACGAGAAGAAGCAGCUCUACGAGCUCAAGAAGAAGUAGUUGCAGCAGGAGGAGCUCCUCCUCAAGCAGCAGCAGGAGGGCCAGCACCAGCUGCCCCAGCAGCAGCACCAGGAUGCUGGUGUGUUGUUUGGCAGGAAUCGGAGAUGAACGUGGCGGAGGCGAGCAGCAAGGAGAAGCAGCCCCCAGGUGCUCCUGGGCAGCGAGGAAGAGGAUCGAGCGGAGCGCGAUCUGGGGAUCAUGGAGUGAACCUAGAGGAAUAUUGUGUGCGGAGGAGCACGUCGGAGCAAAAUUGUAAUAUGAGCAAAAUUGUAAUUACUGUCCAGUUUAAAUACAAUUAUGUAGAGAAACUUUGGAUCGUAUAGAAUAAAGAGCGUAUAGAAUAAAGAGUGAAUUUGUUUUUA